GAUGAACGCUGACAGAAUGCUUAACACAUGCAAGUCAACUUGAACUUCGGUUUGGGUGGCGGACGGGUGAGUAACGCGUAAAGAGCUUGCCUCACAGAUAGGGACAACAUUUGGAAACGAAUGCUAAUACCUGAUAUUAUGAUUUUAGGGCAUCCUAGGAUUAUGAAAGCUAUAUGCACUGUGAGAGAGCUUUGCGUCCCAUUAGCUAGUUGGAGAGGUAACGGCUCACCAAGGCGAUGAUGGGUAGCCGGCCUGAGAGGGUGAUCGGCCACAAGGGGACUGAGACACGGCCCUUACUCCUACGGGAGGCAGCAGUGGGGAAUAUUGGACAAUGGACCAAGAGUCUGAUCCAGCAAUUCUGUGUGCACGAUGAAGUUUUUCGGAAUGUAAAGUGCUUUCAGUUGGGAAGAAAAAAAUGACGGUACCAACAGAAGAAGUGACGGCUAAAUACGUGCCAGCAGCCGCGGUAAUACGUAUGUCACAAGCGUUAUCCGGAUUUAUUGGGCGUAAAGCGCGUCUAGGUGGUUAUGUAAGUCUGAUGUGAAAAUGCAGGGCUCAACUCUGUAUUGCGUUGGAAACUGUGUAACUAAAGUACUGGAGAGGUAAGCGGAACUACAAGUGUAGAGGUGAAAUUCGUAGAUAUUUGUAGGAAUGCCGACGGGGAAGCCAGCUUACUGGACAGAUACUGACGCUGAAGCGCGAAAGCGUGGGUAGCAAACAGG
RNAcentral lists this ribosomal RNA (722 nucleotides) under uncultured Fusobacterium sp. RNAcentral describes it as "bacterial SSU rRNA". It matches the Rfam family "Bacterial small subunit ribosomal RNA", at positions 28 to 776 of the family's 1533-position model. Lineage: Bacteria; Fusobacteriati; Fusobacteriota; Fusobacteriia; Fusobacteriales; Fusobacteriaceae. The record is from RNAcentral.